AACUAACGCUGGCGGCGUGCCUAACACAUGCAAGUCGUACGAGAAAGCCGGCUUCGGCUGGUGAGUAAAGUGGCGCACGGGUGAGUAACGCGUGGAUAAUCUGCCCUUAAGUGUGGAAUAACGUACCGAAAGGUGCGCUAAUACCGCAUAAUGCCUGGCAACACAAGUUGUCCGGCCAAAGAAGGCCUCUGUUUACAAGCUUUCGCUUCAGGAUGAGUCCGCGUACCAUUAGCUUGUUGGUGGGGUAAUGGCCUACCAAGGCUGCGAUGGUUAGCUGGUCUGAGAGGAUGAUCAGCCACACUGGAACUGAGACACGGUCCAGACUCCUACGGGAGGCAGCAGUGAGGAAUAUUGCGCAAUGGGGCAACCCUGACGCAGCAACGCCGCGUGAGUGAGGAAGGUUUUCGGACUGUAAAGCUCGUCGAGCGGAAGAAGUGUACCAUGGCUAAUAUCCAUGAUAUUUGACGGUACCGCUAGAGG
This 480-nucleotide ribosomal RNA is filed under the name uncultured bacterium. Its description in RNAcentral is "bacterial SSU rRNA". It matches the Rfam family "Bacterial small subunit ribosomal RNA", at positions 29 to 487 of the family's 1533-position model. The record is from RNAcentral.